UGCUUCCAGAGGGCAGUGUGAUAUUUCAUUCUAAACCUCAAGUUUGAAUCUCUCCUUACACCUGAAACCUUUUGUUUUGUGUCUUUCCAAAGAGUAGACAUCCAGCCAGGAGGUUCAUGCUCCCCCCGUCAUGCUCACACUCUGGGUUAGUAGUCCAGUAGAUGUCACUACAGCCAAGGGAGCAGGACAAGAGGAACGAAAUCUAUGAUGCACAGACCUCUGGGACAAUCUGAGGAGAGAAUCAUGGAUUUUCUAGUUGUUUUUUUUUAAGCGCGUUGGCUGAAUGCAUCACAACAUCAGUGAACCACGCUGGAGUCGCGGGAAGGUGGUCGUGUUGGGCUGUCACACCAGAAUUCAGGGUUCGUAUCAAGUCUGGUUAAGUUUAGGGAAAGACAUUUUCAGUUCCUGAAACUCGCAAAAUUUAGAGAAAAAUUUCAGACUCAGGAUUUUUAUAUUUACUUAUUAUUACUGUACUAGUUAAUAUUGUUUAUUUGUAAACAAAGUACAACAGUUUCAAAUUGUGUUGUCCUUUAAAGUCAUUCGGUUUAUUCUGUUUAUUCAGU
Molecule: long non-coding RNA, 563 nt
Organism: Acanthopagrus latus (yellowfin seabream)
Lineage: Eukaryota; Metazoa; Chordata; Actinopteri; Spariformes; Sparidae
Exons: 3
Source: RefSeq, a predicted model, not a curated record